GAAAGAAUGGAACUUAAAACUCUAUAUUAUUUAUCAUUCUUUAUAAAUCUUGGUUGGUUGGCCGGGUCACCGGACACAUUUUUAAAACUAGAUACCCCAAUGAUGAUUGUGGUCAAGUUUGGUUUAAUUUGGCCCAGUAUUUUUCAGAGGAGAAGAUUUUUUGUAAGAGUUAACGACGACAGACUACAGACGACAACGACGGACGCCAAGUGAUGAGAAAAGCUCACUUGGCCCUUCAGGCCAGGUGAGCUAAAAAAGAGUACUUAACUUAUAUUACCUUAU
Molecule: long non-coding RNA, 282 nt
Filed under: Mytilus galloprovincialis (Mediterranean mussel)
Lineage: Eukaryota; Metazoa; Mollusca; Bivalvia; Mytilida; Mytilidae
Source: RNAcentral